UUUUAAAAACAUUCAAUCGAUGUCGUGGACACAACAAGAAAAAGAUUUUUCUACGUUUUCAGAUUUGUUGACAAUCAAGUUUGAAACAAAUUUCAUUGAAUUAGUGGAAACAAACGAGUGCCUAUGGUCGAAGGAACAUCGACUGUAUAAAAACAGCCACGCAAAGGAAAAAAAAAUGGACUGAUGUAUUAAAAGCACUGAAACAAGGAAUGAAAUGGCGAUGAAAAGAAGAUAGAACAGCCUCCGCGAGAAAUAUAUUCGCGGAAUAAAUGCGCUAUCAAAAGCUUAAGUUCAGGAUCAGCUCCGACUGCAAUUCCAUCAUGGUCGUACUUUUAAGCAACAAAGUUUUUGAAAACACAUCCGCAAAAGAAGCAUCUUAUGCGCUGAAUACUGUUCUGGUUGCCGGGGGUGAACGCGAAACUCCAAGCAAAAGAAACAAACGUUAGCACAAAGCUAUUGAUUUCAGUUCAGUUCAUGGUGAGAACAAUGUGUGCAGCAGAACCUACGAGACAUGAUGUCCUCGCAAAAUACCUUUGCGAAUCGAUUGAGAAAAUGCCGAUAUCGACUGUUAUACCGUUGGAAGCUGAGUUCUUGGACUGAUGCCUCACCGAUUUUUAUCUGAAUAAGAUCG
Toxorhynchites rutilus septentrionalis is the source of this 631-nucleotide long non-coding RNA. RefSeq lists it as uncharacterized. Lineage: Eukaryota; Metazoa; Arthropoda; Insecta; Diptera; Culicidae. The record is from RefSeq and is a predicted model, not a curated record. The transcript is spliced from 3 exons.